Molecule: ribosomal RNA, 252 nt
Filed under: uncultured bacterium
Lineage: Bacteria
Description: partial 16S ribosomal RNA
Rfam family: Bacterial small subunit ribosomal RNA
Source: RNAcentral
UACGGAGGAUGCGAGCGUUAUCCGGAUUUAUUGGGUUUAAAGGGUGCGCAGGCGGCACGGCAAGCCGGCGGUCAAAUCGCGGGUCUCAACCCCGCCCAGCCGUCGGAACUGCCGGGCUAGAGUGGGCGAGAAGUGCGCGGAAUGCGUGGUGUAGCGGUGAAAUGCAUAGAUAUCACGCAGAACUCCGAUUGCGAAGGCAGCGCACCGGCGCCCUACUGACGCUCAGGCACGAAAGCGUGGGUAUCGAACAGG